This 497-nucleotide ribosomal RNA is filed under the name uncultured bacterium. Its description in RNAcentral is "partial 16S ribosomal RNA". It matches the Rfam family "Bacterial small subunit ribosomal RNA", at positions 28 to 507 of the family's 1533-position model. The record is from RNAcentral.
GAUGAACGCUGGCGGCGUGCCUAAUACAUGCAAGUCGAGCGAACAGACGCGGAUCUUGCUCCUCUGACGUUAGCGGCGGACGGGUGAGUAACACGUGCAUAACCUAACUAUAAGACUAGGAUAACUUCGGGAAACCGGAGCUAAUACCGGAUCAUAUAUUGAACCGCAUGGUUCAAUAGUGAAAGACGGUUUUGCUGUCACUUAUACAUGUCUCCGGGCCGCAUUAGCUGGUUGGUAAGGUAACGGCUUACCGUGGCGGCCAUGGGUAGCCGACCUGUGAGCGGGUAGCGCCACUGUGGGACUGAGACACGGUCCUGGCUCCUACGGGAGGCCGCGGCACCGACUCGUGCGAGAUGGGCGGAAGCUUGACGGAGCAGCGCCGGCUGAGUGAUGCAGGUCUGCGGGCCGUAUAACGCUGUUAUUGUUGAAGACCAAUUUUGUAAGGAGCGAUGCUCGUCUUGACGGUACCUAAACAGAAAGCCCCGGCUAACUACGUG